Obba rivulosa is the source of this 101-nucleotide non-coding RNA. The record is from the annotation of a GenBank genome assembly. NCBI's taxonomy places the organism in Eukaryota, Fungi, Basidiomycota, Agaricomycetes, Polyporales, Gelatoporiaceae.
GGGCAUGUGGUGUAGUUGGUUAUCACGCUCGCUUAGCAUAUUACUCCUUAGCUAGUAGAGCAGCUUGCGAGAGGGGUCCGGUUCGAUCCCGGACAUGUCCA